UACGUAGGGUGCAAGCGUUAAUCGGAAUUACUGGGCGUAAAGCGUGCGCAGGCGGUUUUGUAAGUCUUUCGUGAAAUCCCCGGGCUCAACCUGGGAAUUGCGAUGGAGACUGCAAGGCUAGAAUCUGGCAGAGGGGGGUAGAAUUCCACGUGUAGCAGUGAAAUGCGUAGAGAUGUGGAGGAACACCGAUGGCGAAGGCAGCCCCCUGGGUCAAGAUUGACGCUCAUGCACGAAAGCGUGGGGAGCAAACAGG
RNAcentral lists this ribosomal RNA (253 nucleotides) under uncultured bacterium. RNAcentral's name for it is "partial 16S ribosomal RNA". It matches the Rfam family "Bacterial small subunit ribosomal RNA", at positions 524 to 776 of the family's 1533-position model. The record is from RNAcentral.